ACGCUCGACACCUACGUGAGGCAGCAGUGAGGAAUAUUGGUCAAUGGGCGCUAGCCUGAACCAGCCAAGUAGCGUGAAGGAUGAAGGCUCUAUGGGUCGUAAAACUUCUUUUAUAUAAGAAUAAAGUGCAGUAUGUAUACUGUUUUGUAUGUAUUAUAUGAAUAAGGAUCGGCUAACUCCGUGCCUGCAGCCGCGGUAAUCUGAGCGGGCUGGCAAGGC
RNAcentral lists this ribosomal RNA (219 nucleotides) under uncultured bacterium. RNAcentral's name for it is "partial 16S ribosomal RNA". It matches the Rfam family "Bacterial small subunit ribosomal RNA", at positions 328 to 539 of the family's 1533-position model. The record is from RNAcentral.